RNAcentral lists this ribosomal RNA (1372 nucleotides) under uncultured bacterium. RNAcentral describes it as "bacterial SSU rRNA". It matches the Rfam family "Bacterial small subunit ribosomal RNA", at positions 28 to 1381 of the family's 1533-position model. The record is from RNAcentral.
GAUGAACGCUGGCGGCGUGCCUAAUACAUGCAAGUCGAGCGAACGGACGAGAAGCUUGCUUCUCUGAUGUUAGCGGCGGACGGGUGAGUAACACGUGGAUAACCUACCUAUAAGACUGGGAUAACUUCGGGAAACCGGAGCUAAUACCGGAUAAUAUUUUGAACCGCAUGGUUCAAAAGUGAAAGACGGUCUUGCUGUCACUUAUAGAUGGAUCCGCGCUGCAUUAGCUAGUUGGUAAGGUGACGGCUUACCAAGGCAACGAUGCAUAGCCGACCUGAGAGGGUGAUCGGCCACACUGGAACUGAGACACGGUCCAGACUCCUACGGGAGGCAGCAGUAGGGAAUCUUCCGCAAUGGGCGAAAGCCUGACGGAGCAACGCCGCGUGAGUGAUGAAGGUCUUCGGAUCGUAAAACUCUGUUAUUAGGGAAGAACAUAUGUGUAAGUAACUGUGCACAUCUUGACGGUACCUAAUCAGAAAGCCACGGCUAACUACGUGCCAGCAGCCGCGGUAAUACGUAGGUGGCAAGCGUUAUCCGGAAUUAUUGGGCGUAAAGCGCGCGUAGGCGGUUUUUUAAGUCUGAUGUGAAAGCCCACGGCUCAACCGUGGAGGGUCAUUGGAAACUGGAAAACUUGAGUGCAGAAGAGGAAAGUGGAAUUCCAUGUGUAGCGGUGAAAUGCGCAGAGAUAUGGAGGAACACCAGUGGCGAAGGCGACUUUCUGGUCUGUAACUGACGCUGAUGUGCGAAAGCGUGGGGAUCAAACAGGAUUAGAUACCCUGGUAGUCCACGCCGUAAACGAUGAGUGCUAAGUGUUAGGGGGUUUCCGCCCCUUAGUGCUGCAGCUAACGCAUUAAGCACUCCGCCUGGGGAGUACGACCGCAAGGUUGAAACUCAAAGGAAUUGACGGGGACCCGCACAAGCGGUGGAGCAUGUGGUUUAAUUCGAAGCAACGCGAAGAACCUUACCAAAUCUUGACAUCCUUUGACAACUCUAGAGAUAGAGCCUUCCCCUUCGGGGGACAAAGUGACAGGUGGUGCAUGGUUGUCGUCAGCUCGUGUCGUGAGAUGUUGGGUUAAGUCCCGCAACGAGCGCAACCCUUAAGCUUAGUUGCCAUCAUUAAGUUGGGCACUCUAAGUUGACUGCCGGUGACAAACCGGAGGAAGGUGGGGAUGACGUCAAAUCAUCAUGCCCCUUAUGAUUUGGGCUACACACGUGCUACAAUGGACAAUACAAAGGGCAGCGAAACCGCGAGGUCAAGCAAAUCCCAUAAAGUUGUUCUCAGUUCGGAUUGUAGUCUGCAACUCGACUACAUGAAGCUGGAAUCGCUAGUAAUCGUAGAUCAGCAUGCUACGGUGAAUACGUUCCCGGGUCU